Cynocephalus volans (Philippine flying lemur) is the source of this 102-nucleotide small nuclear RNA. Lineage: Eukaryota; Metazoa; Chordata; Mammalia; Dermoptera; Cynocephalidae. The record is from RefSeq and is a predicted model, not a curated record.
UUGCUUCAGCAGCAAAUAUAUAAAAUUGGAAUGAUGCAGAGAAGAUGAGCAUGGCCCCUCAGCAAGGAUAACAUACAAAUUCAUGAAGCACUCCACAUUCUU